UACGGAAGGCAGCAGUGGGGAAUAUUGCACAAUGGGCGAAAGCCUGAUGCAGCUAUGCCGCGUGUAUGAAGAAGGCCUUAGGGUUGUAAAGUACUUUCAUCGGGGAGGAAAAAACAAAACUAAUAAUUUUAUUUCUUGACGUUACCCGAAAAAGAAGCACCGGCUAACUCCGUGCCAGCAGCCGCGGUAAUACGGAGGGUGCUAGCGUUAAUCAGAAUUACUGGGCGUAAAGAGCACGUAGGUGGUUUUUUUAAGUCAGAUGUGAAAUCCCUGGGCUUUAACCUAGGAACUGCAUUUUGAAACUGAAAUACUAGAGUAUCGUAGAGGGAGGUAGAAUUCUAGGUGUAGCGGUGAAAUGCGUAGAUAUCUGGAGGAAUACCUGUGGCGAAAGCGGCCUCCUAAACGAAUACUGACACUGAGGUGCGAAAGCGUGGGGAGCGAAACAGGGAUUAGAUACC
Molecule: ribosomal RNA, 458 nt
Filed under: uncultured bacterium
Lineage: Bacteria
Description: bacterial SSU rRNA
Rfam family: Bacterial small subunit ribosomal RNA
Source: RNAcentral